CUAAACUCCAGGAUCUCCAGAGCCAGAGAUGAGAAACCAUGCAUCACUGAGAUUAAAACCUCAAGAACAGGGUUCCUCAAAUUUGGCCCUACUCUACAAAGUUUUGCCCAAACUCUAAUUAAAGACACCCGAGCAAGCUAAUCAAGGUCUUCGGAGUUACUUGAAAAGUACAGGUGACAGCGAGAUGUUUCAAGGUCCGAUGUUUCCAGGGGAGGGACUUCUGCUUUUCGGUGUGACUGGCACUUCAGAUUGUUUUCAGUAGACCAACCAUGCAGAAUGUGGCUGUCUAUAUUGGUUGUCCUCCUGAUAUCCAAUUGGUGUAUGAUGUCAGUACCACUCUGCAGGAGUCUGUACCUCUGAACAAAAGGAUCUUCAGCUGUUUAAAUCCUGACCCAGUUACAGUCUGCUUCCGCUGUGAAAACUGUAAGAACCUGCUGCCAGUGAUUCAAGACCAAUUCAAUCUGGCUCUGUACAAGACAUUUUGACCUCAAAGUACACUGGUAUGAUUUGUCAAUAUAACAUAUGCAAAUAGCUGCUGACGCCCCGUGUUCAAUCGUGCACACGCAGUGCACAAGUCAAGCAAGAGGAGUCACAGGGAAUUAAAUGAGAACCACACCUCUGGAGUUAUCAAAAUCCAAAAGAACUAGCUUCAGUGUUUGGAAGCAUAAGAAUGGUUUUAAAAAAAUAUUGUUGUCAUAAUAUGAAAAUGUUUAAGUUAUUUUUCCUGUUAGCAAACAUUUGAAAAUUAAGAAACAAAGACAGAAUAUGCCAUGUGCCGUGUCGUUUUACUGUUCUGCAGAAAAAUAAAAUAAAAAUUCAAACUGCAAUUACAUCAUAAACAGAAGUUCAGCUAAAAAAUGAACGGUACUCAGCAAUGCCUUGAUCAGA
Cyprinus carpio carpio is the source of this 888-nucleotide long non-coding RNA. Lineage: Eukaryota; Metazoa; Chordata; Actinopteri; Cypriniformes; Cyprinidae. The record is from Ensembl.